GGUAUUUUUUUUCCCAGCAAUUUAUUACUCCUUACUCCGUCCACCAAAAAUCAAAAGUAUGACACUUUUUAUUGCCACAUAUUUUAAGAAAAUUAAUGGUGAUUUUUAUAUACGUAGUGGAGAAAUGGUCCCACCAUAAUUUGAAAUGAGUGUUUCAGAUUAAAUUAAAGAUGAUUUUUUUGUAAAUAAAGGGUGUUUAUGUAAUACCCCGUUUCCUCGAGCAAAGUUUAGAAUAAUUUUGAACUUAGAUUUAAGAUGAUUCACGCCGGAUUGAGAAAAAGAAUUUAUUUUAAUUCCAACAAAAGUGAUUUACAAAAGCAUUUGUAAAUUUAGUUAUUAAAUUUAUAUGCAUUGCAUAUUUAUUUAAUUCAGCAUUCAAGCAUUUUCACGAGCUUUUAAUUAGCAAACCCUGGAGAAUUUCUAAAAUUUCGAUAAUUUUAUCCUGAGGGAUUUUAUAUGUCAAAUCCUCACUCAACUCACUUACACUCAUCUCUCCCAUCAGCCACCCUACCCUGCUGCAGCCACUCUACUAGCCCCAAUUUCAGUUUCAAGCCAUGCCUAAGGGCAGGCUGUCAAAUUCCCUUGCUUAAGCAUGUUCAAGCCAAUUUCAGUUGGCAUUCUCAAUAUCCAAGAUUUUCAGACUUUCUCUUCCGCAGCAAGAAUUCAAGUGCAGAGCCAAUCACUCCAGAUUUCAUACGAAUUUCCUAAAGGUUAAUGGCUGGUGAUGACGGGCAGAGCUGAUGCUAGAGUUCAACUCCUUAUUUUGACUUCCGCUGUAGAACUAGCCAGUAUCUGUCUUUUGUUCCUUAACUUAAGGCCUAUUAUGUUGUGACUCUAAACAAUAUCUUUUGUUGAGCCUAGACUAUUGACUCUCAAGUAUAUGUCGAUCAGUGAAUGUUGGUUAUCUGAAGCAUGACACUAAACUUGUGAUCCUGAAGUUAUUAUGUUUGUUGAUUGAUUCGUAUCA
This is a long non-coding RNA of Salvia miltiorrhiza (redroot sage), 967 nucleotides long. RefSeq lists it as uncharacterized. Lineage: Eukaryota; Viridiplantae; Streptophyta; Magnoliopsida; Lamiales; Lamiaceae. The record is from RefSeq and is a predicted model, not a curated record. The transcript has 2 exons.